AGCAGUGGGGAAUAUUGGACAAUGGGCGAAAGCCUGAUCCAGCCAUGCCGCGUGUGUGAAGAAGGUCUUCGGAUUGUAAAGCACUUUAAGUUGGGAGGAAGGGCAUUAACCUAAUACGUUAGUGUUUUGACGUUACCGACAGAAUAAGCACCGGCUAACUCUGUGCCAGCAGCCGCGGUAAUACAGAGGGUGCAAGCGUUAAUCGGAAUUACUGGGCGUAAAGCGCGCGUAGGUGGUUUGUUAAGUUGGAUGUGAAAUCCCCGGGCUCAACCUGGGAACUGCAUUCAAAACUGACGAGCUAGAGUAUGGUAGAGGGUGGUGGAAUUUCCUGUGUAGCGGUGAAAUGCGUAGAUAUAGGAAGGAACACCAGUGGCGAAGGCGACCACCUGGACUAAUACUGACACUGAGG
Molecule: ribosomal RNA, 409 nt
Filed under: uncultured bacterium
Lineage: Bacteria
Description: bacterial SSU rRNA
Rfam family: Bacterial small subunit ribosomal RNA
Source: RNAcentral